CUUGUAUUUUGAUGUCUAGGUGUCUAACAAGGUCGGGGAAGUUUUCCUUGAUUAUUCCCCAAAAUAUGUUUUCCAAACUUUUAGAUUUCUCUUCUUCCUCAGGAACACUGAUUAUUUUUAGUUUGGUCAUUUAACAUAAUCCCAGACUUCCUGGAGGCUUUGUUCAUAUAUUCUUAUUAUUUUUCUUUGCCUUUGUUGGAUUGGGUUAAUUCAAAGACCUUGUCUUCAAGCUCUGAAUUUCUUUCUUCUGCUUUUUCGAUUCUAUUGCUGAGGCUUUCCAGAGCAUUUUGCAUUUCUAUAAGUGUGUCCAUUGUUUCCUGAAGAUUUGAUUGUUUUUUAUUUAUGCUACCUAUUUCCUUGAAUAUUUCUCCCUUCACUUCUUGUAUCAUUUUUUGGAUUUCCUUACAUUGGGCUUCACCAUUCUCUGGUACCUCCCUGAUUAGCUUAAUAACUAACCUCCUGAAUUCUUUUUAAGGUAAAUCAGGGAUUUCUUCUUGGUUUGGGUCCAUUGCUGUGAGCUAGUGUAAUUUUUGGGGGGUGUUAAAGAAUCUUGUUUUGUCAUAUUACCAGAGUUGGUUUUCUGGUUCCUUCUUACUUGGGUAGGCUCUGUCAGAGGGAAGGUCCAGGGCUGAAGGCUGUUGUUCAGAUUCCUUUGUCCCGUGGGAGUGUUCCCUUGAUGUAGUACUCUCCCCUUUUUCCUAUGGAUGUGCCUUCCUAAGAGCCAAGCUAUAGUGAUUGUUAUCUCUCUUCUGGAUCUAGCCACCCAGCAAGUCUACCCGGCUCCAGGCUGGUACUGAGGGUUAUCUGCACAGAGUCCUAUGAUGUGAACCAUCUGUGGGUCUCUCAGCCAUGGAUACCAGCACCUGUAACGGUGGAGGUGGCAGGGGGGUGAAAUGGACUCUGUGAGGGUUCUUAGCUUUGGUGGUUUAAUGCACUAUUUUUGUGCUGGUUGGCCCUCUGCCAGGAGGUGGCACUUUCCAGAGAGCAUCAGAGGUGGCAAUAUGGGGAGGAACAGGCAGUGGGUGGGGCCCUAGAACUCCCCAGAGUAUAUAUGCCCUUUGUCUUCAGCUACCAGGGUGGGUAGGGAAGGACCACUGGGUGGGGGCAGAACUAGGCAUGUCUGAGCUCACACUCUCCUUGGGCGAGUCUUGCUUUGGCUGCUGUGGGAGAUGGGAUGAGGUUCCCAGGUCAAUGGAGUUAUGUUCCUAGGAUGAUUAUGACUGUCUUUACUGUGUCAGGCAGGCUGUCAUGGAAGUGGGGGAAAGCUGGCAGUCACAGGCCUCACCCAGCUCCCAUGCAACUUGAAGGGCCAGUCUCACUCCCACUGUGCACCUCCUAACAGCACCAAGUCUGUUUCCAGGGAGUGGGCAAGCAGGGCUGAGAACUUGCCCCAGGCUACCGGCCUCCCAGCUGCAAAAGCAAAUAGGCUUUCCUUCUUCCCCUGCCUGUGGAGUCUGCACACCAGAUUCACGCCCUCCCCCCAGGUUCUGGCCAGAAGGCUUCUCCAUCAGUUCAAAUUGUUACAAAGUUCAGCUGGAGAUUUUCUUCUCCCUGUGGCCUUUUCCCAGCACUUCUGGCCACCAUCCCGAAGCACUCCUGUGAGGCCAGGCAAAAACCCUAGGGGACCCAUCAAGCUCCCAGGACUCUUCUCGCUGCUUCCUCUACCCUGUAUUUUGCUCGGCUCUCUAAAUUAACUCAGCUUCAGCUGCCUGCAGAAGAUGGGUAAGCUUCGCCCUUUUCCAAUCCUCUAAUCAAAGAGGAUGCAUGAAAGUCUUUGAAGAAAGUCUCUGCAGAAGGCUGAUUCACCCUCAAAUUUUUUUCUCUGCCUUCUCCUCCUAUGGCCUGCAAUUUCCACAAUUAGAAAUUAAUUCCUUUGAAUUUUUUCUGCUAAAAUACAUAUAAGCCUGGGAAAGGAAACAGCAGUUGUAUUCCAGAGUGAAUGUACUUAUUCUGAAAGAGUAUUUUGAUAAGGGGAGAAAGAAUUUAAGAGUUCCUGGGAAUGAGGGAAUUGGGAACGGUUAAAAGGAGCCUCAAAGAGAGGAGAAACAACUUUGGAAUGGAAAGAUUCCGUCGAGAGGGGGCCCAAGCCAAACUUUUCCUCUCUCAGAGCUUUGCACAAGCCAAGCAGGUCAAAACCAGGUCUCCAAUCAGCAAAAGGGGGUAAAAGGUUGGGGAAUAUUGGAGCAAGUUCAGGCAUUGGAUACAAAGGCUUCCUUUAGUCUAGGAAUUGUGCAAGCACCAAGGGUGCAGUGAAAGGUAAGACCCAGCUCCUGCCCUCAAUGUAGAGUUCACAACGUAGUUGGGAGAAUCAGUACUCAUCAUUCGGGUUGAGGGCCUUGGAUGUUCUGGCCACACACAGAGGAGGGGCACGGUCAGCAGGCACCUGAUGCAGCCUGGAGAAAGGGGAGGAUGGGACACAUAGACUGGCUAUAAAGAAAAAGACAAGUUAGAAGUAGCCUAACCAGUGACUAGGCACGGUGGCUUACACCUGUGAUUCCAGCACCUUGGGAGGCCAAAGCAGGAGGAUCACUUGAGGCCAGAACUUCAAGACCAGUGUGGGCAACAUGGUGAAACUCUGUCUCUACAAAAAAAUAACAAAAAAUAGCCUGGUAUGGUGGCACAUACCUGUGGUCCCAGCUACUUGGAAGGCCGAGUGGGAGGAUCACCUGAACCGGGGAGGUCAAGGCUGCAGUGAGCCAUGAUCAUGCUACUGCACUUCAGCCUAGGUGACAGAGAGAGACCCUGUCUUAAAAAAAAAAAAAAAAAUCAGCUGAGCAUGGUGGUAUGCACUUGGAGUCCCAGCUAUUCAGGGGCUAAGGCAGAAGGAUCACUUGAGCCCAGGAGUUUGAAGCUGCAGUGAGCCAUGAUCACACCACUGCAUUCCAGCCUGGGUGACAGAGCAAGACCCUGGCUCUAAAAAUAAAUAAAUAAAUUUUUUUAAAAAAAGAAGUAGCCCACCAGGAAAAGGAAAGGCAUACCAAGUGGAGGAGAGCACAUAAGCAAAGGCUUGGGGGAAAGCACCUUCUAUGUGGUAGGAAUGUAGGUCCUUAAGCGGAUGUGAAGGGAGAUGAGGCUGCAAAGGUGUUUGACCACCAGAGUACUGGAGGUCAUGUCAAGAAGUUUCAACUUCCUGGCUGGGCGCAGCGGCUCACGCCUGUAAUCCCAGCACUUUGGGAGGCCGAGGCGGGCGGAUCACCUGAGGCCAGGAGUUCGAGACCAGCCUGGCCAACAUGGUGAAACCUCCAUCUCUACUAAAAAUACAAAAAGUAGCUGGGCGUGGUGGCGGGUGCCUAUAAUCCCAGCUACUCGGGAGCCUGAGGCAGGAGAAUCUCUUGAACCCAGGAGGCAGAGGUUGUAGGGAGCCAAGAUCACGCCAUUGCACUCCAGCCUGGACAACAAGAGCGAAACUCCGUCUCAAAAAAAAAAAAAAGAAGUUUCAACUUCCUUAGGAAAGCAAUCACAAGCUUCUGAAGAAUUGUAAGCAGAGGACUACAUGGCAAUUCGUAUCUGCCUUGUUCACCAGAAGGCAGGCAGAUGAUGGAAUGCAGGGGAAUGAGGCUGGGGACAGGGGCGCCAGUUAGGAGGUUAUGGUAAUAGAUUCGAGAUGAAGGACUCACCUGAAGCAGGUGCAGAGAGUAUAGAGGAAGAUUGGGAAGAUCUGAGGACCAAUGUAGGGGCUGAGGGAAUGUAAGAGGGUGACAACCAUUGCCUGGAUUGCCAGCAGGGCCACGGGGAAUGGCUCUGUCCACUGAAAAAAGGAAGGCAGGGAUGUCAUGCAGGGCUUAGCUUUGAAAGUUUGGAUGAAAGCAAAAUUUCAUAUGGCCAACAUUGCACUUGAAAAUCCCUUAAAUUACCCAUAAUGUACAGCAGAGAUCAUCAUGGCUUUGGUUGAAUCAGAUGAAGUUCCAAGGCCUUGUUAUAUGUGAAAUGCAGAUUUUUUUUUUAUGUCAGGGUCUUGCUCUGUCACCCAGGAUGGAAUACAGUGGCAUAAUUAUAGCUCACUGCAGCCUUGAAUUCCUGGGCUCAAGCGAUCCUCCUGCCUCAGCCUCCUAAGCAGCUGGGGUUAUAGGUGCAUGCCACUGCUCUCAGCUGAAAUACAGAUCUUAAACCCCAAAAAUCGCACUCAGCAUGGAGAGAUGCUCAUUACAGGAAAAACACAAGGAACUCCACAGAAAUAGAAGAAUCAGGUCUUCCACUUCUUCACCCCAGGGUUUUCGGCCAUGGGUAGAAUGACCAGCAGGAACUCCAAGCACUAUUUGAGUCUAUGAUUCUCAACCUUGGCUGCACAUUGGAAUCACCUGGGGAGCUUUGAAAAAUACAGAUGCCUGGGUUCCACCCCCAGAGAUUCUGAUUCCAUCCUUCUAGAGAACAGUGUACGCAUCUGAAUUCUUAAAAGCUCCUUAGAGAUUCUAAGGUGCAGACAAGGUUGAGAACCACUGAUUUAAGUUGUUCUCUCUCCUCACCUUUGCCUCAUUUGAAUUUCUAUGAGUUAAAGGGCAAAGGGUGAGUUCAGUUUUGGACUUGGGUUCAAGCAAAGACAUCCUCUACCCUCUACUAAUGAUCCCUCUGGGUCUUAUAAAUGUUUAUCCAGGCAGCCCUGGGUUCAGCAACAGUUCCUGAUUGAUGGGUACAGUUGCUGGGAUGGGGAAGAGGCUCUUCCAGACAGUAGUUCCAGACAGCUUGACUCUGAAACACAAACAAACAGAAAAUAGUCACUCUGCCUCCCAACCUGUUCAGCACUGGGGAGGUGGCAGGGUGGGGAUCAGGGGAAGAUUUCAAACAAGGGCAACAUUUACUAGGCUUUUCCAACCACGCUAGAAUAGUUAUUACUGCAAAUAGCCGAUUUGACUGCUACGAGUCUAUAAUUUCAAUCUCUGAAGUAACAUGUUCUCAGAGCUUCUGGUAUCUCAGUUUGUUGAUGCAAUGAGGAAAAUCCAAGGACAGUACUUCAGGCGCGUCCUCAUGCCCCAGGUGCUAGUGCCCUAGUGAGAACCAGGCUCUGCAAAAUCAGGCUCCAAGACUGUCACAAGGAGCCUCCUUCAGAGUCUAGGUUAGGGCUAAGUUCUUAUUUUUCUUCCCAUGCUUGCAAUCUGUACGCCCUCUCCUUAAAAUGGUCAUUGUGUUACAGGAAAGGGGUCCUGAUCCAGACCCCAAGAGAGAGUUCUUGGAUCUUGCACAAGAAAGAAUUCAGGGCAAGUCCAUAGAGUAAAGUGAAAGCAGGUUUAUUAAGAAAGUAGAAGAAUAGG
This 5246-nucleotide long non-coding RNA is filed under the name Homo sapiens (human). RNAcentral describes it as "HSALNT0135682". Lineage: Eukaryota; Metazoa; Chordata; Mammalia; Primates; Hominidae. The record is from RNAcentral.